This 297-nucleotide ribosomal RNA is filed under the name Caldisericota bacterium. RNAcentral's name for it is "partial 16S ribosomal RNA". It matches the Rfam family "Bacterial small subunit ribosomal RNA", at positions 1 to 284 of the family's 1533-position model. Lineage: Bacteria; Pseudomonadati; Caldisericota. The record is from RNAcentral.
UUGGUGGAGGGUUUGAUCCUGGCUCAGGACGAACGCUGGCGGCGUGCCUAACACAUGCAAGUCGAGCGGGCUAUAGGGCAUAAGUUCGCUUAUGUUCUGUAGUUUAGCGGCGAACGGGUGAGUAACGCGUGGGCAACCUACCCAGAAGACCGGGACAACUCUGGGAAACCGGAGCUAAUACCGGAUACGCUCUUUAGGGGGCAUCCUUUAAGGAGGAAAGGGGGAACCCGCUUUUGGAUGGGCCCGCGUCCCAUUAGCUGGUUGGUGAGGUAACGGCUCACCAAGACGAUGAUGGGU